Molecule: long non-coding RNA, 263 nt
Filed under: Lathyrus oleraceus (garden pea)
Lineage: Eukaryota; Viridiplantae; Streptophyta; Magnoliopsida; Fabales; Fabaceae
Description: Pisum sativum (pea) long non-coding RNA (PSAT_LNC010101)
Source: RNAcentral
UGAUGUCAAGAUUAAACUCAAGUUGCUUCUAAACAAAAUCCACUUGCAACCUAUUACGAAUUGAUGUGUGUUUUGAAAUUUCAUCUGGCUAAAUUUUUAAAACGAUUUCUAUACUGUAUUUUGCUUGAGGACAAGCAAAGAUCUAAGUAUGGGGGAGUUUGAUAACAUGAAAUUAUAUCAUAUUUUUGGACUCAAUUUAAUUAAAUUAUAUUAUUAUUUAUUUCAAUUUAUUUCAUUUUAUUAGAUAUUACGCGGUAUUUUCU